UAUGAAACGAUGACGGAUAACAGUAGCCUAUUAUGGUUAAAAUACAGAGAAUAGAUCAUUAGUGAGAGAUCUGUAACCUAAUAAUAGAGUGAAUUACGAAUCCAAAGUUUCAAUAGGAAACUAUUGCGAUUAUCACACGUUACGUGAUUAGAGGCUUUAUGCAAAUUAAGGUGGUACCACGGGUGUCUUCUCGUCCUUUUA
RNAcentral lists this non-coding RNA (201 nucleotides) under [Clostridium] ultunense Esp. The record is from RNAcentral. Lineage: Bacteria; Bacillati; Bacillota; Tissierellia; Tissierellales; Tepidimicrobiaceae.